RNAcentral lists this ribosomal RNA (1370 nucleotides) under uncultured bacterium. RNAcentral describes it as "bacterial SSU rRNA". It matches the Rfam family "Bacterial small subunit ribosomal RNA", at positions 28 to 1381 of the family's 1533-position model. The record is from RNAcentral.
GACGAACGCUGGCGGCGUGCCUAAUACAUGCAAGUAGAACGCUGAAGAAGAGGAGCUUGCUCUUCUUGGAUGAGUUGCGAACGGGUGAGUAACGCGUAGGUAACCUGCCUUGUAGCGGGGGAUAACUAUUGGAAACGAUAGCUAAUACCGCAUAACAAUGGAUGACACAUGUCAUUUAUUUGAAAGGGGCAAUUGCUCCACUACAAGAUGGACCUGCGUUGUAUUAGCUAGUAGGUGAGGUAACGGCUCACCUAGGCGACGAUACAUAGCCGACCUGAGAGGGUGAUCGGCCACACUGGGACUGAGACACGGCCCAGACUCCUACGGGAGGCAGCAGUAGGGAAUCUUCGGCAAUGGGGGCAACCCUGACCGAGCAACGCCGCGUGAGUGAAGAAGGUUUUCGGAUCGUAAAGCUCUGUUGUAAGUCAAGAACGAGUGUGAGAGUGGAAAGUUCACACUGUGACGGUAGCUUACCAGAAAGGGACGGCUAACUGCGUGCCAGCAGCCGCGGUAAUACGUAGGUCCCGAGCGUUGUCCGGAUUUAUUGGGCGUAAAGCGAGCGCAGGCGGUUUGAUAAGUCUGAAGUUAAAGGCUGUGGCUCAACCAUAGUUCGCUUUGGAAACAGUCAAACUUGAGUGCAGAAGGGGAGAGUGGAAUUCCAUGUGUAGCGGUGAAAUGCGUAGAUAUAUGGAGGAACACCGGUGGCGAAAGCGGCUCUCUGGUCUGUAACUGACGCUGAGGCUCGAAAGCGUGGGGAGCGAACAGGAUUAGAUACCCUGGUAGUCCACGCCGUAAACGAUGAGUGCUAGGUGUUGGAUCCUUUCCGGGAUUCAGUGCCGCAGCUAACGCAUUAAGCACUCCGCCUGGGGAGUACGACCGCAAGGUUGAAACUCAAAGGAAUUGACGGGGGCCCGCACAAGCGGUGGAGCAUGUGGUUUAAUUCGAAGCAACGCGAAGAACCUUACCAGGUCUUGACAUCCCGAUGCUAUUUCUAGAGAUAGAAAGUUACUUCGGUACAUCGGUGACAGGUGGUGCAUGGUUGUCGUCAGCUCGUGUCGUGAGAUGUUGGGUUAAGUCCCGCAACGAGCGCAACCCCUAUUGUUAGUUGCCAUCAUUCAGUUGGGCACUCUAGCGAGACUGCCGGUAAUAAACCGGAGGAAGGUGGGGAUGACGUCAAAUCACCAUGCCCCUUAUGACCUGGGCUACACACGUGCUACAAUGGUUGGUACAACGAGUUGCGAGUCGGUGACGGCAAGCUAAUCUCUUAAAGCCAAUCUCAGUUCGGAUUGUAGGCUGCAACUCGCCUACAUGAAGUCGGAAUCGCUAGUAAUCGCGAAUCAGCACGCCGCGGUGAAUACGUUCCCGGGCCU